Molecule: unclassified non-coding RNA, 259 nt
Filed under: uncultured Fusarium
Lineage: Eukaryota; Fungi; Ascomycota; Sordariomycetes; Hypocreales; Nectriaceae
Description: sequence contains ITS2
Source: RNAcentral
AACGCACAUUGCGCCCGCCAGCUAUUCUGGCGGGCAUGCCUGUUCGAGCGUCAUUUCAACCCUCAAGCCCCAGCGGCUUGGUGUUGGCGCGCGGCCGGACCCAGUGCCCGGCCGCCGCCGAAAUGCAGGGGCGGUCGCCUCGCGGCAACCAUUACGCAGUAGUAACAUCUCGUAACUGGGACGCGGAGCGGCCACGCCUAACAAACUCCAUUUUCUUAGAGUUGACCUCGGAUCAGGUAGGGAUACCCGCUGAACUUAA